CCUACGGGAGGCAGCAGUGAGGAAUAUUGGUCAAUGGGCGAGAGCCUGAACCAGCCAAGUCGCGUGAGGGAGUACUGCCCUAUGGGUUGUAAACCUCUUUUGUCGGGGAGCAAAAGCCGGACGUGUCCGGCUGUGAGAGUACCCGAAGAAAAAGCAUCGGCUAACUCCGUGCCAGCAGCCGCGGUAAUACGGAGGAUGCGAGCGUUAUCCGGAUUUAUUGGGGUUAAAGGGUGCGCAGGCGGAUUUUUAAGUCAGCGGUCAAAUCGUGGGGCUCAACCCCAUCCAGCCGUUGAAACUGGGGAUCUAGAGUGUGCGAGAGGUAUGCGGAAUGCGUGGUGUAGCGGUGAAAUGCAGAGAUAUCACGCAGAACCCCGAUUGCGAAGGCAGCAUACCGGUGCACAACUGACGCUCAGGCACGAAAGCGUGGGUAUCGAACAGGAUUAGAUACCCCUGUAGUC
Molecule: ribosomal RNA, 458 nt
Filed under: uncultured bacterium
Lineage: Bacteria
Description: partial 16S ribosomal RNA
Rfam family: Bacterial small subunit ribosomal RNA
Source: RNAcentral